Molecule: ribosomal RNA, 442 nt
Filed under: ascomycete sp. Pv5
Lineage: Eukaryota; Fungi; Ascomycota
Description: SSU rRNA
Rfam family: Eukaryotic small subunit ribosomal RNA
Source: RNAcentral
AAUGGCUCAUUAAAUCAGUUAUCGUUUAUUUGAUAGUACCUUUACCUGGAUAACCGUGGUAAUUCUAGAGCUAAUACAUGCUAAAAAUCCCGACUUCGGAAGGGAUGUAUUUAUUAGAUAAAAAACCAAUGCCCUUCGGGGCUCCUUGGUGAUUCAUAAUAACUUAACGAAUCGCAUGGCCUUGCGCCGGCGAUGGUUCAUUCAAAUUUCUGCCCUAUCAACUUUCGAUGGUAGGAUAGUGGCCUACCAUGGUCUCAACGGGUAACGGGGAAUUAGGGUUCUAUUCCGGAGAGGGAGCCUGAGAAACGGCUACCACAUCCAAGGAAGGCAGCAGGCGCGCAAAUUACCCAAUCCCAAUUCGGGGAGGUAGUGACAAUAAAUACUGAUACAGGGCUCUUUUGGGUCUUGUAAUUGGAAUGAGUACAAUCUAAAUCCCUUAACG